AUGAUAGAGGCGCGUUUUCCGAUAAGUACGGCAGGCGAGACUUCCGCGGUCGCCACAACCUGUCCGAAAGGCGGAGAAUGCCGAAGAAUUGACGCUGCGGCAGGCGGCAGUUCUGGUCACACGGGCGAAGAGCCAUGCGACUGUCAUCAUUAAUUUGAUGGAGAGCUAUCUUA
This 173-nucleotide non-coding RNA is filed under the name chicken gut metagenome. RNAcentral describes it as "Lysine riboswitch". It matches the Rfam family "Lysine riboswitch aptamer". Rfam says of the family: Riboswitches are metabolite binding domains within certain messenger RNAs that serve as precision sensors for their corresponding targets. Allosteric rearrangement of mRNA structure is mediated by ligand binding, and this results in modulation of gene expression. The record is from RNAcentral.